This 571-nucleotide ribosomal RNA is filed under the name Curvularia papendorfii. RNAcentral describes it as "eukaryotic LSU rRNA". The stretch from base 196 to 349 matches the Rfam family "5.8S ribosomal RNA". Lineage: Eukaryota; Fungi; Ascomycota; Dothideomycetes; Pleosporales; Pleosporaceae. The record is from RNAcentral.
UUCCCGAGGGGGGGGAUGCGGAGGGAUCAUUACACAAUACAAUAUGAAGGCUGUCCGCAGCUGGAGUAUUUUAUUACCCUUGUCUUUUGCGCACUUGUUGUUUCCUGGGCGGGUUCGCUCGCCACCAGGACCACCAAAUAAACCUUUUUUAUGCAGUUGCAAUCAGCGUCAGUACAAACAAUGUAAAUCAUUUACAACUUUCAACAACGGAUCUCUUGGUUCUGGCAUCGAUGAAGAACGCAGCGAAAUGCGAUACGUAGUGUGAAUUGCAGAAUUCAGUGAAUCAUCGAAUCUUUGAACGCACAUUGCGCCCUUUGGUAUUCCAAAGGGCAUGCCUGUUCGAGCGUCAUUUGUACCCUCAAGCUUUGCUUGGUGUUGGGCGUUUUUGUCUUUGGUCGCCCAAAGACUCGCCUUAAAGUGAUUGGCAGCCGGCCUUUCUGGUUUCGCAGCGCAGCACAUUUUUGCGCUUGCCAUCAGCAAGACGGCAAUCCAUCAAGCCUCCUUCUCACGUUUGACCUCGGAUCAGGUAGGGAUACCCGCUGAACUUAAGCAUAUCAUAAACGGGGGAAGA